ACGGCCAUACCAUGCUGAAAGCACCGGUUCUCAUCUGAUCACCGCAGUCAAGCAGCAUUGGGUGCAGUCAGUAGGUACUUGGGAGGGUGACAUCCUGGGAACACUGCAUGCUGU
Araneus ventricosus is the source of this 114-nucleotide non-coding RNA. The record is from the annotation of a GenBank genome assembly. NCBI's taxonomy places the organism in Eukaryota, Metazoa, Arthropoda, Arachnida, Araneae, Araneidae.